Molecule: long non-coding RNA, 3789 nt
Filed under: Pelobates cultripes (western spadefoot toad)
Lineage: Eukaryota; Metazoa; Chordata; Amphibia; Anura; Pelobatidae
Source: RNAcentral
CCUGCACACACAAACAGCACAGCCUGGGACACAGACUCCAACCAGGGAUCCCUCCUAAGUGUUUACACUUUACAUUCUUUGUGUAAAUGGAUGUUUAACCCUACGCCUGCCAGGAGAUGGAUAAGUGUGGGACGCAAGCCAUUGUCUCGUGAGUGACGCCAUAAACAGGCGGGUUUGGAGCCGGCUCAUUAUCAGUCUUGUGCCAAGUGAGGCUACGGGAUAAUAAUACGGGAUAAUAACAGAUGAUUUAACCGGGGAGGAUACGUUUAGCUUCUACUAGUUUUCAAUUAAUUCCUGGGGUAUUGUUGUUAUUGCUCAAGAGAGAGUGACAGAGGUAAUUCCUCGCAAGGGUACACCAUCCGCCAUAGCGAGAGGUUCACAGAGGGGUCAGUCUGUCUGGAGCUAAUACCCAGAGACUCCUCUGGCAUCAGAUAUUAUGGGGAAUUCAUGCUGCCCAGCAGGGCACCUGUGCCACAACGCAUGAGUUUUCAGCCAGGCUAUGAGCCAACAGCAGCGUGGGUUCAAGUUUGGCUAAAUAUCCAGAUUGUAUAGCGCUCAAUAAUCCGGGCAUUCGGAGUACAUAAAAAAAAAAAAGGUAAUAUGAUGGAUUAGUUAGUUAAUGCAGAAAAUGUAGAAAUAGUUCAAGCGUUAAACUUAAUAAUGAUAUGUUAACUCCGCAUUUAAUUCGUUCAUAACAUACAAAAAAAUAUCUACUCAAUCCUUCAAAGUGAAAAAAUGGGCUCUGAUUCCACACCCAUUCAAUAUGGAAUCCAAAAAGGAAAAAAUGUCCAGCGCACGUCAGUAGGUGAAAAAGUACUCCAAAUUUAUUGAGGUCUCCACAGCUAGCCAAACAACGUUUUAACCUAACAAUAGGGCUUACUCAAGUUCUAAAGAUCCUUUUCACCUGUUGAAGUGUGCCCGGCAAUUAUAUUUUAGGGUUUUUCAUGCUUUCAAGGUUGAUAAAAUAAAAACAACUGAGCAGGGUAACACGAUCUUCUGUGUCUCAGGACAUUGCCGAAAAGAAGGUAAAUUAAAUUGCAUCUUUCCAGGUAAAGAAUUUUCAUUACAUUUACACAAUAAAGUUACUUGCUGGCUGCCGGUAAGUUUGUUUUAGAAGGCGAUACUCGCAAAGUAAGCAUUAUUCAGAGCCUCUAUGAGAGGCUAAUGAACCACAGCAGGAAUGCAGGUUCAUCUGCCCCGGGGUAAGUGGACUCUUUGUCUCAGAUUGUUGGGAAGAAGCUUGGAUUUCAGUGAAGAAGAGGUACAGUUGCGCGAUAACAGUUGAGUGUGAGUUCAGACUGUUGCAACUUUAUUAAAUGGUGAACCUGAACAGCUUAACCUGUCAAGGAUCGAAGUAUGAGGAUAAACGCUGGAGACUCUACCGUAAUGACACGGUAUAAGCUGCAGAACUUUGAAAAAUGUUAAGUGUACACUGAUUCAGCAUUAAAGGAACACUCCAAACACCAUAACCACUACAGCCAGCUGGUGAUCUUCCAGCAUAAUUUUUCACACUUUAAGAAGGGUUUGACAAUUUACUUGGGACACUCCUGGGCACCUACGGCACCAAAUACAUCUGUUGGAUUUUUCUACAUAAUUAUUUUCUAAAUAUUUGCUUAAAUGUUGUAUUUUGUCUCUCAUUUCUCAAGAAUUUAGAGUUUAGUAAAUAAGCCUUAAGUGAUUUUCACAUUUCAGGCCAAAGUAGCUCAACCGGAAAACAUGUUCCAACUCUCAGCUGUGUUCUAAGCAGCUAUUUUGUCCUGAAAUUUGGAAUAGCCCACUAGACUUGGAAGUGUAGAUAAUUCACUAGGGUACUUGUUAGUGAAUAAACGCUUUAGCAAAAGCAAGACAAUCACAGCAAGUGCCCUCUGAAUACAGUUUCCCAGUCAUGUUUUUGCCAAUAACUGCGUACUCCACUCCCACACCUAUCACAGAUAAUAAGCAACAAAUAAGAAUGCCCCUUACACAGUUAAAGGACCACUAUAGGCACCCAGACCACUUCAGCUCAAUGAAGUGGUCUGGGUGCCAGGUCCCCCUAGUUUUAACCCUGCAGGUGAAAACAUAGCAGUAUCAGUGAAACUGCUAUGUUUACACUGCAGGGUUAAUCCAGGCUCUAGUGACUGUCUCCCUUACAGCCACUAGAGGCCGCUUCCGGGAUUUACACUGAGUAAAUCGCACUUAUUUGACGCUGGAUGUCCUCACGGAGUCCAGUGUCAAAUAAGAUGCCCAUAGGAAAGCAUUGAGUAAUGCUUUCCUACCGGCGGGUUUGAAUGCGCACAUGCCUCUGGCCGCGCAUGUACAUUUGGCUCCACUCGGGAGCUGACAUCAAUGAAGGAGGAGAGAUCACCAGCGCUGAGGGAGCCCCGCGCUAGAUAAAGGUAAGCAAAUAAAUGGUUAAUUAACCAUUUAUUUACCAUGGAACGGGACGUGACUAGGGUUCUAUAGCGUUAGGAAUACAUAUUUUAUUCCUAACGCUAUAGUGUUCCUUUAAACUACGAUAUAAAGUCUGGAAUAAUUCCUCUAAAUCCAUGAUUACUUAUAAUAGGAACCUAGCAGUUUAUCCACACAAGUCUGGACUGCUCCCAAAACAGUGUUUGAUCACUAUAGCAACACAAAGCAUCAGAUAUAAACAGAGAAAAAAAGCCAAAUUUCUCUGCUCAGCACGGCGCUGCUCCGACUGAACAAUACACUGCAUGUAGCCUGUGGCAGCCACGUGUGGACUCCGCAAAUAACGGCACACACAUAUUCUGCACAGAAUAGUGAUGAUUAUCCCUUUAUUAGUGGUGAUGAUGCGGGGGGAGUGAAACAGUGCUAUGGUCUUGUUCACAUACAGGCAGUUUAUUGAAAAGGAGACAAGGUGGGCUCUUGACAUACGGUUAAGAAGUAUUCAUGGAGAGAAAAUUCUUUUCCUUUUCCAGAAAGAUUUGCAUACCUUCCAGGUGAGGUCACAGCACAGCGACUUGUAGGAACACAACCGAGCCUCGGGCCUAUUUAAUUAGUUUAUUUCCAGUCACUUUGUCGUUUCUAGACAGGCAAUAAGCUCAAGUAGCAGUCAAUUCUAAUAAACUGCAUUUUCCAAAAACCCUGUUACACUUUGGAAAUUAACUGCUUGAAGGAAAACGGGAAAAGACUGAUGACCCAGUUCUAGAACUGUUUGUUUUCUUUGGGAAAGCGAUCAGGGUUAUUUACUCAUAUGUGAGUUGUAUGGAAGUCAUAUUUUACACCAAAAUAACUGAAAUGGUUAUUUUGGCCUCAAUUUGUAAAUUCACUGACGGUACUCGGUUGCACCACCUACGAAAGGUUUGUCACUUACCUUUGUCGGGCACCCAUGGUCCUUCCAGUCUCAGUUGCUGUGAUAACACAGAAAUUCACAUUUACAAAUUAUCAUACUGUAACUAUAACUAUCUCAUGCCAGGUUGGAAAAGUAUUGAUUGGUCGUCUAGACCUGGUAUGAUAAUGUGAAAGUAUAAACCUCUGAUUUACCACGUCAGCAUAUACUGGAAGGACUGCAGGCACCUGACAAAGCAAAGAUAAUGUCAAACAGUUGUGAACAGUUUGACAGGUUACGGUUUGGUAGUAAAACUACCACCUGUGCGGUUGCACCGUGGCCCAUGUUAUUAUGGCCACCAGGUGGGAAUCUGUCUUCAGGGAACCAGUCAUGUGCUAUAACACUUUCACAGCGUGAUCAGCCCAUCUCAUAUCGGCAGGCAGUCCUGGGAGGAAGAGAGAGCCGUCACCAAGCCGACACACACCAAUCCACGCAGGAGGACAAGGCAGAAAGGAAUGGAUAGC